RNAcentral lists this ribosomal RNA (253 nucleotides) under uncultured bacterium. RNAcentral's name for it is "partial 16S ribosomal RNA". It matches the Rfam family "Bacterial small subunit ribosomal RNA", at positions 524 to 776 of the family's 1533-position model. The record is from RNAcentral.
UACAGAGGUCUCGAGCGUUAGGCGGAAUCACUGGGCUUAAAGCGUGUGUAGGUGGAUGCCUAAGUACCUUGUGAAAUCCCACAGCUUAACUGUGGAACUGCUUGGUAUACUGGGUGUCUUGAGUCACUCAGGGGCGAGCGGAACAAAUGGUGGAGCGGUGAAAUGCGUAGAUAUCAUGUGGAACGCCAAUGGUGAAAACAGCUCGCUGGGGGUGCACUGACACUGAGACACGAAAGCCAGGGGAGCGAACGGG